CAAGGGCAUGCUCAGUACGGCGAGUGAAGCGGCAAAAGCUCAAAUUUGAAAUCUAGCACCUUCGGUGUUCGAGUUGUAAUUUGAAGAUGGUAACCUUGGGUUUGGCUCUUGUCUAUGUUCCUUGGAACAGGACGUCAUAGAGGGUGAGAAUCCCGUCUGAUGAGAUGCCCAUUCCUAUGUAAGGUGCUAUCGAAGAGUCGAGUUGUUUGGGAAUGCAGCUCUAAGUGGGUGGUAAAUUCCAUCUAAAGCUAAAUAUUGGCGAGAGACCGAUAGCGAACAAGUACAGUGAUGGAAAGAUGAAAAGAACUUUGAAAAGAGAGUGAAAAAGUACGUGAAAUUGUUGAAAGGGAAGGGCAUUAGAUCAGACUUGGUGUUUUACGAUUAUCUUCUCUUCUUGAGUUGUGCACUCGUAUUUCACUGGGCCAGCAUCGAUUCGGAUGGCAAGAUAAUGGCAGUUGAAUGUGGCUUCACUUCGGUGGAGUGUUAUAGCUUCUGCUGAUAUUGCCUGUCUGGAUCGAGGGCUGCGUCUUUUGACUAGGAUGCUGGCGUAAUGAUCUAAUGCCGCCCGUCUUG
Molecule: ribosomal RNA, 573 nt
Filed under: Hansenula anomala
Lineage: Eukaryota; Fungi; Ascomycota; Saccharomycetes; Phaffomycetales; Wickerhamomycetaceae
Description: eukaryotic LSU rRNA
Rfam family: Eukaryotic large subunit ribosomal RNA
Source: RNAcentral